RNAcentral lists this ribosomal RNA (953 nucleotides) under Bacillus thuringiensis. RNAcentral's name for it is "bacterial SSU rRNA". It matches the Rfam family "Bacterial small subunit ribosomal RNA", at positions 63 to 995 of the family's 1533-position model. Lineage: Bacteria; Bacillati; Bacillota; Bacilli; Caryophanales; Bacillaceae. The record is from RNAcentral.
CGAGCGAAUGGAUUAAGAGCUUGCUCUUAUGAAGUUAGCGGCGGACGGGUGAGUAACACGUGGGUAACCUGCCCAUAAGACUGGGAUAACUCCGGGAAACCGGGGCUAAUACCGGAUAACAUUUUGAACCGCAUGGUUCGAAAUUGAAAGGCGGCUUCGGCUGUCACUUAUGGAUGGACCCGCGUCGCAUUAGCUAGUUGGUGAGGUAACGGCUCACCAAGGCAACGAUGCGUAGCCGACCUGAGAGGGUGAUCGGCCACACUGGGACUGAGACACGGCCCAGACUCCUACGGGAGGCAGCAGUAGGGAAUCUUCCGCAAUGGACGAAAGUCUGACGGAGCAACGCCGCGUGAGUGAUGAAGGCUUUCGGGUCGUAAAACUCUGUUGUUAGGGAAGAACAAGUGCUAGUUGAAUAAGCUGGCACCUUGACGGUACCUAACCAGAAAGCCACGGCUAACUACGUGCCAGCAGCCGCGGUAAUACGUAGGUGGCAAGCGUUAUCCGGAAUUAUUGGGCGUAAAGCGCGCGCAGGUGGUUUCUUAAGUCUGAUGUGAAAGCCCACGGCUCAACCGUGGAGGGUCAUUGGAAACUGGGAGACUUGAGUGCAGAAGAGGAAAGUGGAAUUCCAUGUGUAGCGGUGAAAUGCGUAGAGAUAUGGAGGAACACCAGUGGCGAAGGCGACUUUCUGGUCUGUAACUGACACUGAGGCGCGAAAGCGUGGGGAGCACACAGGAUUAGAUACCCUGGUAGUCCACGCCGUAAACGAUGAGUGCUAAGUGUUAGAGGGUUUCCGCCCUUUAGUGCUGAAGUUAACGCAUUAAGCACUCCGCCUGGCGAGUACAGCCGCGAGGCUGAGACUCAAAGGAAUUGACGGGCGCGCGCACCAGCGGUGGAGCAUGUGGUGUAGUUCAAAGCCACGCCAAGAACCUUACCAGGUCUUGGCAUCGUCUGAC